This 584-nucleotide ribosomal RNA is filed under the name uncultured bacterium. RNAcentral describes it as "partial 16S ribosomal RNA". It matches the Rfam family "Bacterial small subunit ribosomal RNA", at positions 355 to 1375 of the family's 1533-position model. The record is from RNAcentral.
UGGGGAAUUUUGGACAAUGGGCGAAAGCCUGAUCCAGCAAUGCCGCGUGUGUGAAGAAGGCCUUCGGGUUGUAAAGCACUUUUGUCCGGAAAGAAAUCCUUGGCUCUAAUACAGUCGGGGGAUGACGGUACCGGAAGAAUAAGCACCGGCUAACUACGUGCCAGCAGCCGCGGUAAUACGUAGGGUGCAAGCGUUAAUCGGAAUUACUGGGCGUAAAGCGUGCGCAGGCGGUUUGCUAAGACCGAUGUGAAAUCCCCGGGCUCAACCUGGGAACUGCAUUGGUGACUGGCAGGCUAGAGUAUGGCAGAGGGGGGUAGAAUUCCACGUGUAGCAGUGAAAUGCGUAGAGAUGUGGAGGAAUACCGAUGGCGAAGGCAGCCCCCUGGGCCAAUACUGACGCUCACGCACGAAAGCGUGGGAGCAAACAGGAUUAGAUACCCUGGUAGUCCACGCCCUAAACGAUGUCAACUAGUUGUUGGGGAUUCAUUUCCUUAGUAACGUAGCUAACGCGUGAAGUUGACCGCCUGGGGAGUACGGUCGCAAGAUUAAAACUUAAAUGAAUUGACGGGGUCAUAGCUGUUUCCU